RNAcentral lists this long non-coding RNA (2868 nucleotides) under Otus sunia (Oriental scops-owl). RNAcentral's name for it is "lncRNA (ENSOSUG00000003632.1)". The record is from RNAcentral. Lineage: Eukaryota; Metazoa; Chordata; Aves; Strigiformes; Strigidae.
CUAGUUCUGGUGGCCACAGUGCUAUUUGUUGGUGUGGAAAAUCCCUACCCUUAAUCUCUUUUGCUCAAUAGAAACUACAUUCUGGGGAAGCUGAGCAUCCACCAGACUCUCUAACCCAAAUACUACAAGUUUCAGCAGCGAAGAUAGUAAAGCUGGAAGCUCUGAGGCAAGCGUGUCUGUACAGAGUCCUGGAUCUCUACAGCAACCUCCAGAUGCUGACUUGCCCAGAAGGUGUGACAAGGGUUCUGAACAGCUUUGGCUACAAAAAUAAUGGUGAAGAAGUAGCCCAAGAGGUCGCUCAGACUAGAGAGAAACAGCAAGUAUGGAGAGCAGUGGCUUUUCUGCGGAAGCACCAUCAGGAAGGAGAUUUGCUUCAAGGUUUAAAGGAAGAGUCGGAAGCUGAGCUGAGAAAAAUGCAGGCACAAUUUAGAUGGGAGCUUCAAACACAGACAGAAGAAAAGAUACAAGCCAAAGAAACACAAGUGAUCCAGGAGACCGAAGGAGAGAAGUUUGGGAAUUUUGUGGCGUAUUUCAUCCUGUCUCAGAGACACCUGCGGCAAACAGUCAUUCUGCUACAAGAUUGCUUCAAGCUCAAGAAGAUUGCCUUGAGGUCCCAAAAGGAAGGCACAGGCCUGGAACAGCUUGUUGUAGAAGAGUUAUCGACUGAUGAUGACACCAGGGACAUUUCACAUCUCCUGAAGGAGAAUACAGAAUAUACAUUUUUAGUGCUGGAAUUUAUACAAACUGUAAGAUUAUUACAACUGAGAGAGGCACAGUUUAAGGAAAUAGUCAGAAGCCUGAAAGGCUGCAUCCAGGAGAAGUUUGUGGAUGAAGCUAACACCAUAGCCAAUGAACUGAAAAAAUUCAGAGAGCAGAAAAUGAGAAGGCUGAAGGAACAGCUGAAACUCUUCCUGGAAAAUCAAAGAACAAAGAAGAAGAUUUCAAGUAAAUUUGAUCCAUUGCAGAACAAAGAUGCCACCUUGAAACCAGAAGAAACAACAGAAAAAAGAAAAGACCUCUGGCAGACUUUCCAAGAGAAGCAUCUGGACCUCAAAGAACCUCACAUGUGGCAAAUAUCAGAUGAAAGAGCAAAGCUGCAGGAUCAUCUGCUCUGUGGAGAAGAGAAGAGCAGGAUGGAGCCUGCAGGGUUUGGUUCUACAGCAUACCCUGAGCAGCACGACAGGAACUCAAUGAAAGAAUGCAGUGAAACAAAAGCUUUCCUAGGAAAGGAUUUUCAUCCAGAUUUACAGAAGUUGAGAGAGAGACCAGAAGAAGAGGAGCAGCAAACCAACAGUGCUCCAUCAUCCAUCAGCCAGCCUUUCCAGCUUCCAGUGAUGCAUCCUAAGGCAGAUGACCAGCUCCUGUUAUUCUUAACUAAGAAUCUCCAAGAGCUGAAGCAGGCAGAACACCUGAUGGCGUGCAGAAUCGUUCAUCUGAACCCACAGUUCAUGACACCUUCUCAGUAUGGUGGUGAUAAAACUAAAUGUAUAAAAGCCUCUUUUCUCCUUGGUCUUCUGAAAGAUGUGAAUGAUGAGCUCCAAAGUCACGCAGUGGCAGCUGGACUACUGGGAAGUCAAAGGCUGGAUGAAAAAACAGCAAAUACUUCGCAGGGUAUAGACGAUGCCUUGAUGACUCAGGAAGGGGGACUAACAGCAGUUGAUCCUGCAACCCUUUCUGCGAGAGAGUUUGUCAUUUAUCAGUACGGCAUCUCCAUCCUACAGCUUCUCAGAUCUCACAUUGAUGCUCCAGAAGUUAACCUGCGUGUUGCCUCCAGAAUACCUCCUAGCAAUGCCACAGGCAACGCCUUCAGAAACUCUUUCUUUUAUCAGAAGUCAAAGAACAAGCUAUUCAUUCUAAGGGAUUGCCUGAGUUCUGUGGGAAGUUUCCUUCUCCUCCUCGUGCACUGCUUGGCUCACAUCACGGCUGCUGACUUCAAUCACGAUGCCAACCCACUCUUUCUGAGGCUUUUUUAUCAGGCACUAAAGGCUUGUCUUAGUGAAACAUUCUCUCUCAAACUCCAGCUCUCAGCAGUUCUACACAGUGAGAAAUCUUAUGAGAUAAGUCAGAUGUUGCUAAAGGAAGAACCAUUCUCCAAGGAGGAAAUAAAUCUCAUCUCCCAACUUUUUGAGGUGAAAGUAAAAAGUCUGACAGACACGGAAGCCUUUGAGAAGAACCACCUCUUGCUCCAGACGAAAUUUCAGGAACCACUAAAUGACAAAUUGCUUGCAAAGAAAAAGGAGCAUUUCCUUCAUGCCUCGAGUGGGUACGAAAAGGGCAGCUUGGGGUGGAGGACACGCUUUGAAGAGGAAACCUGCGCUUACUUGUCCCCUUCAGAACUUGAGGAUAAAGUGGAUGUGUUAACUGAAGAGCUAGUGAAUAUCAUAGAGGAUGAACAUCAGUUUUUAAACAGUAAAGGCAAUGAAGACUUGCUUUUUUACUACCUCGAAAUAACUAGUUUGGAGAAAGACUGUUUGGUAAAACAAAUAAAUGCAUUAGAAGAGAAAAUAGCCCUAGGCAGAAAGUUGUAAUGGUACUCCAAAGAGGACUUAGUGGUUUGGUUUUAACUGGGUCCUCUGCAUUUGUCCUCAGGCUUUAAGCCAAGGUAAAUCUUGUAUUGUUGUUUUAACUACAGUGUAUUUUUUCCCUUCAUAUUAAAGGCUCAUUAAAUUAGGAGUGAAAGCAAUGUAGUAAUUUAACUGACAAGACUUUAGCCUAAGUGACUGACAUUUCUGGUUAUAUCCAAGUGGUGAAGAGACAAACAUGGCUGCAAAAGCUCAAACUGAAGAGUUGCCAGAAACAGAAGAAAAAUAUAGAAUCACUCAUAAGUCUGCUUAGUGUUUAAAAAAAUUAACUAACAUAUCACUCCAC